RNAcentral lists this ribosomal RNA (443 nucleotides) under uncultured bacterium. RNAcentral describes it as "bacterial SSU rRNA". It matches the Rfam family "Bacterial small subunit ribosomal RNA", at positions 958 to 1398 of the family's 1533-position model. The record is from RNAcentral.
AACGCGAAGAACCUUACCCAGACUUGACAUCGAUCGCAAGCUCUAGAAAUAGGGCCCUCUCCCACAAGGAGACGUGAAGACACUUGUUGCAUGGCUGUCGUCAGCUCGUGCCGUGAGGUGUACGGUUAAGUCCGCCAACGAGCGCAACCCUCGUUCUGUGUUACCAGCAUUAAAGAUGGGGACUCACAGGAGACCGCCGGUGUAAGCCGGAGGAAGGUGGGGAUGACGUCAAGUCAGCAUGGCAGUUACGUCUGGGGCUUCACACAUGCUACAAUGGAUGAAACAAAGGGCAGCGAUACCGCGAGGUGGAGCCAAUCCCAAAAAUACAUCCCCAGUUCAGAUUGCAGUCUGCAACUCGACUGCAUGAAGUCGGAAUCGCUAGUAAACGCAGGUCAGCUAUACUGCGUUGAAUACGUUCCCGGGCCUUGUACACACCGAGUAUA